UACCAGCACCCCGAGUGGUCGGGACGUUUAUUGGGCCUAAAGCAUCCGUAGCCGGUCCUACAAGUCUUCCGUUAAAUCCACCUGCUCAACAGAUGGGCUGCGGAAGAUACUAUAGGGCUAGGAGGCGGGAGAGGCAAGCGGUACUCAGUGGGUAGGGGUAAAAUCCUCUGAUCCAUUGAAGACCACCAGUGGCGAAGGCGGCUUGCCAGAACGCGCUCGACGGUGAGGGAUGAAAGCUGGGGGAGCAAACCGG
This 253-nucleotide ribosomal RNA is filed under the name uncultured bacterium. Its description in RNAcentral is "partial 16S ribosomal RNA". It matches the Rfam family "Archaeal small subunit ribosomal RNA", at positions 474 to 727 of the family's 1478-position model. The record is from RNAcentral.